This 429-nucleotide ribosomal RNA is filed under the name Chloroflexota bacterium. RNAcentral describes it as "Chloroflexi bacterium partial 16S ribosomal RNA". It matches the Rfam family "Bacterial small subunit ribosomal RNA", at positions 355 to 776 of the family's 1533-position model. RNAcentral also lists the same sequence under 1 other name. The record is from RNAcentral. Lineage: Bacteria; Bacillati; Chloroflexota.
UGGGGAAUAUUGCACAAUGGGCGCAAGCCUGAUGCAGCCAUGCCGCUUGUAUGAAGAAGGCCUUCGGGUUGUAAAGUACUUUCAGCGGGGAGGAAGGGAGUAAAGUUAAUACCUUUGCUCAUUGACGUUACCCGCAGAAGAAGCACCGGCUAACUCCGUGCCAGCAGCCGCGGUAAUACGGAGGGUGCAAGCGUUAAUCGGAAUUACUGGGCGUAAAGCGCACGCAGGCGGUUUGUUAAGUCAGAUGUGAAAUCCCCGGGCUCAACCUGGGAACUGCAUCUGAUACUGGCAAGCUUGAGUCUCGUAGAGGGGGGUAGAAUUCCAGGUGUAGCGGUGAAAUGCGUAGAGAUCUGGAGGAAUACCGGUGGCGAAGGCGGCCCCCUGGACGAAGACUGACGCUCAGGUGCGAAAGCGUGGGGAGCAAACAGG